Molecule: long non-coding RNA, 5719 nt
Organism: Equus caballus (horse)
Lineage: Eukaryota; Metazoa; Chordata; Mammalia; Perissodactyla; Equidae
Source: Ensembl
CAUAGCCUCUGCUGAUGGGACCGUCCUAAACUGUGCCAUGGGUUUUCUUCCUGCCAUUCACACAUCUUACAUCAAGUAAGCACUUCCCAAGCUUCUACUGCGGGAUGAUUCAGCUCUCGAGGAGGUUUGGAAAUAUUCUGGGGAAGACAGCGAUCUGUAGAAGGUCCAAAUGAAAUGUGAGCUGUGCAAUCAGGGGCGCGGAAGUGCAGAGCGGCCCCAGGCGCCCGUCCCACCUGGGAGAGCUGGGUGGGCCUCGCAGACGACGUGCGUUGCCGCUGAGCCUUCACAGGCCUUAUGGAUUUAACCUAAAAUGGAAAUUACCCAUAAAAAUGGUGGCUUACUGCCUUUAAUAACGAGCUAUAACUGUAUUUUACCGAACUAGCAGUACCAUUGAGUAAAGAGGUGCUACCCCAUGCUAGGUAAUAUAAUUUCUAGAUUAGUCUACGGGGCUCGUUUUGUAAUCAAUCUCUAAACUUGCAGAAACUGGUCACGCCUAAACUGAACGUAUAGUUAUCUCCAACUGGAUAAACCUGGGACUUUCAACUGUGUUCUAAAUAGCUCUUUUGGGUAUUCACACAGAAAUCACCUGUCCUUGAUUUAGUCGGCCAAGUAGUUGAGACCAUUUCCGGCAUCCUCUAUGGGACUCUGCUGCAGAAGUGUGCUUUAUACAUGGUGUUUUUAUCGUGAGGGCCACCACAAAGACAAUACCACUCAUUCUCCAUGAAUGGAGGGACGCCCUCCUGCUCACCACUGAUCCCUCACCAUCUAGAAGUGUGCAUGGCACAGUGCGCGCUCAACAAGUAAACAUGAGCUAACAAGACCAACCAGGUGCCCGCUGUCCUACAGGAGCUGGAUCAUCCACAGGUAAAUAAAUUCCAGUAAGGAGAAAUGCUUUGAAGAAAAUAAAAUGGCAUAAAGAGGUAGACCAUCAGCACCAGGAGGCAGAGAGGGUAGGAUGCUUCGGACAGCGUGUGGACCUGGGGUUCCUGAGAGCUGCGCCUGGCUGAGGGCUGACUGACCAGAGGAGCCAGUCCUGCAGGGAUGUUGAGCAGAGGGUGAAGCACAGCCAACAUGGCGCCCAGGGGAGAAGGAAGGCCUGAGCAGAGAGCACAGGAGUCAGACAAGGCUGGGUCAUCCAGGGCUUUGCAACCACUCGCACACUUCACUGGGCCCGUGAUGUGCCAUCACCUCCUGAUCAUCCACGGCAGGCCUCCCAAGAGGGUGCCAGCAAACACAACACCGAGUCUUCCAGGGAAAGAAAAGAAUUCGCUGCCAAGGUCUGAAAACUGAUUGGAAACCCUGUUUAUCCUUAUUUCCCGGUCUGGUCAGCGGAUUCCAGAAUCUUAUCUUCCCCGUUACGGAGAAAGCAUGGCUUUGAAACCGUCUCCUUGGAGAGCUCACUUGCACAUGAAGCGCAGCCCUCACUCCAAGCCGGCUGGGAAGCACUAGGACACAGAAGUGACAUUGCAUCAAAGUGGCACAGGAGAGUGGGGGUGGCUGGAAAAUCAUGGAAUCAAAGGAAAAUGAUCCAAUAUUUCAAAGAAAAUCAUGUCCCGUACAUUUCUGCUCCAUUACAAUAGGGGAAGUUGAAGCUGGUCUUACGCGGCUGCUGUCUUAGAUGUGGAGCUCUCGGAGUGCUUGAAAUGUCUUCUAUUUUAUUACAUAUACAAAGGAGCUCUUUAACACGGCUACUGUCUGCGACACGUAAGUCAUAUCUCAGUUUUCUUUGUCGACUAAAACCAUUCUGGACUGGAAAGUCCCGCUACUGAAGACUGCCUCUCGCCGGUGUUCCACAGGUGAACGGCGAAAUACGGCAGCCUCUUUAACGAGGAAACUGUCCAUUGACCAAUCUACCAAAAUUGUCCGCCUGUCUUAUGUUAGUACCACAUUUUUAUGAUUUUUAACACCUGCAAAAUACGCUUUCGUCAAAACUUAAAGCUGCAAAGUAAAUAAAUAAAUAAAUAAAAUUCGAUUGAUGAAUGGUUUUAGAAAGUAAAGUAAAGUUUCUGGGCUGUAAUUACUUUUUAACAAUUUAUCAGUGAACACACCAUCAUGAAGUCUCAUUAUCUGCUUCACAAAAACAAACCUAAAAUGCAAAGUUAAUGAACCAAAACAUCUUGCAAAUCUAAGACCAAGUUGACAAGACCAUGGCAAAUGCAUCCUUAUAAUGACUAGUCUUAUGCCCAAACUCCGAAGAUGAUAGCCUCUGUGGUUCUUGCAUGAAUGAGCACAUGAAGUAACGUGCACCACCUCACGGCCGGCUGUAAAAUCAUGCUGUGCCAUCUCCAUCUUUUCAUAUUCAUUCAGCAAACGCUUAUUGAGAAGCUCCUGCGUGCCAGCAAUAAAGCUGUCUCUGUGCUCGUGAAAUCAACAAUCAGAUGGGACACAAACAGGCAUAAGCGAUGGGAGGUCCUGCUUUAAAUUCUGUUUAUUGGGGAAAGAAUGGGGUAUCAUGGGGUGUAUAAAACAACACCUUGAUUGGGACAUUGGGGAGAUUUACCACAGAAGUGACAGUUGAACUGAUACCUGAAAAUAAAUAUGAAUUAUCCAAACAAAAGGUAAAAGUUGUUUUCACUGCUCUGGGUAGAGGAGACGGCAUGUGCACAAUCUGGGAGGCAGGAGAAAAGAGCAAGUUCAGGGACUGAAAAGACUUCCGUGUGGCUGGAGUGUAGGGCGUGAGUAUGUGGCAGCAAGAGAUGACAUCAGAGAAACAAGUGGGAGGAGAAAGGACUGAGAGGUCCUGACCAGACCGCUGGCAGUGAGGACGGAGGAAAGUGGACGGUGUGUGAGGAAUGAGGCUGUGGAAGAGAGAGAAAUGGAUGCUUGGUUAGAGGCAGGGUGAAGAGGAAGAAUGGCGAAUGGCGAAGGGCUCACAGAUUUCUUGAUAGACCAAGAUAGGAAACACGGGGAGGGAGGGCUGGCAGGCAGGCAAGGAGUCCCGUUUGGAUUUGUUGAGUUAAGAUAUCUGGAGAUAUCUAGGAGAAGAUACACAAUUCUCAGCUGGAGCUCAGAGACAUAAGCCAGUGAGUUCAGUCAUCACCAAAUGGUGUAUGAUGUGGGGGACACAAGAUUGCUCCAUUUGCUAGCAUGAGAACCCCAUCUUUUAAAGGCUGACAGAACAAGAAGGUUCAAAAGAUUCUGAGAUGGAGAGAGUGCAACAUGAGACAAGACAAAAGUGACGGAACCAGGAAGAAAGUCAACGUUAGCAGAUGGGAGAAGAAAGAUGAGUCAGCACAAGAAACUAGGAAGGAGUGGCCAGAGAGAUUAGCAGGAAACCAAGAGCGAGUGACGGUAACCAAAAUCCAGGAAACAGAGCACUUAACCAGAAGGGUGGUUCUGAGACUUGAGAACAAUCAGGAAGAAUCGGGACUGAGGAUUGUCAUCAGUUUCUUCGUCUGUAUAACGGGAUGAACGUCAGAACCAGCCCACGGGGCCGCCGCCAGGAGUAAUCCAGAUAAUACAAGCGAAAGUCUAGAACUGAGCUGGAGGGUGGAGCCCGGAGCAGGAUGGAAUGCUGCACGUCCUGCACAGAGUGAAGAGGGCCCAUGGCUUCCUUUUUGCUUUCUGUUGGAGUUCUGUCAAGGCCGUCUGAGAUGCGUUAGCUUCUGUUGUGGUGGAGGUCACGGCUCUCCACGCUGUGUGCAGGACUCAGCGAAAUGCUAGGUGAAUACAGAAAGCUGCACCCAGUGGAAGUAAGCACAAAGGAAUAUACACAACGCACACACCCACACGCCUCCACCACCCGCCGGCCACCUCCACUCACGAAGUGUAGGAGCCAUCCCAUACACAUCUGCUGACACGCUUUCCUUCCGACGCCAGAUGACACUGUUUCCACCUCUUCAGAAUGACUCACCAGCUACAGUCCUUCGGAGCACGCUGCCACAAGCAAACCUCAGGUCUUUUUCCAGAGCGCGCCACUGGGCUCUCCACGUCUGGCCAGCAAAAGGGGAAAAGCCAGUUUGAAGACCUCCUGGGGCUUCAGGGUCCGUGGCCAGAAGAGCUGCUCUAGAGUGCCCACCUUCCAUUGGCCAGAAGGGGUCCAAGGCGUCACACAGACGCAAACGAGCCCAGGAAGAAAAUGAAUUGGUUUGGUAAACAAUUUUUGUGAAAAGUGCUGGUGGCAACCCACGAAAUGAACUUCCUGCCUCGCUGUGCGUCACAGGUGCAGCCGACGUGCGGAGGCUCACAGUCCAGGCCGCGCUCCCGGACGAGGGAGCGUUGAGUGACUUACAUCAAAGACAGGUCGGUGAAACCAGAUGCCAGCGUUCUUCCUCCAGCAGACCCGUGAGCAGGCAGGACCCACCUCACCGCCAGCCUGCACACAGCGCUCAGCAGAGCGCCCGGGCCUGGCCCCUGCAGGCCAUCCGUGCACCAGUGAGCCCUGCCUCUCCAGGGCCAGGGACUGCUAGGCCACGGCAGAACCCCGUGGCAGCUCACAGGGAGUAACCGUAACAUGGCCCCUUCCUGCAGGCCUCGGCUCUGGGCACCCUGCAAUUCCAGGUCACUGCGCCAGAGAGGAUGAGCACCCAGGCUGAGCUCACUACCUCCCUCCCUCCCUAAUGCCGACAGACCCUGAGACCUCAUUCAGUCCAGCCGUUACCACAGGGUCCGGCACAGAGAAAACAUCCAAGAAAUACCGUCAUCCAAGAGUCGCAUACCUGCUGGGUGUUACACGCUGCAUUAGGAACAACGGCAGCUCCGAACGAACAGAAAGCAGCAACGGACGACCUCGGGGAAACUGACCGUCUGUGGAGUUAGACAGGAGAGGCUCCCAAGCCACCUUUGAUUCCUUCCUGGACCACAGCCGUGGCCUCCCCUCCUGCCUGGGCUCCCGGCCUCCAGCUUUGCCCCCACACUCACUAUCUUCUCAGUGCAGCAGCCUUCGAUGUUCUCGCUCUCACUCAGUCAAUGCCAAAAUCCCUACCCAGCCACAAGGCCCUGCCGGGUCUCCCCUCAGAUGGGAGCACUACAGGCCCCUGCUCUCCCCACUCAACCCCGAGGCCUCCUUGCUGGUUCCAAACUCACUUCAGCCUGGAGGUCUUCGCACUUGCUUUUCCCUCUGGAAACCCCGUGGCUGGCUUCCUCUCUGUCCCUCAGAUCAUUACUCAGAUGUCAUUUCUCAGCGAAGCUGUCCCUGCCCGCUUCCUCUACUCUUCUCUGUAAAGCUCAUCGCCCUGUGCUUCCUUAUUUGGGUUGUCUUAUGUCUGCCUCAUGCACCACAAUGUAACCUCCAUGACAGCAAAGAAUUUUGUCCUUGUGUUCACUGACGUACGCAAUCACCUAGAACAAUGCAAAACACCCAGGAAGUACUUAUAGAAUGAAUGAAUGAAUGACUCGAGACAGGCAUUGAACAAUAAUGCAAGUGUUAUGAAUUGAACUGUGUCCCCCAAAAGAUGUUGAAGUCCUAACCCCUGUACCCGUGACUGUGACCUGUUGGGCAAUAGGGUCUUUGCAGAGAAUCGAGUUAAGGUGAGGUCAUUAGGGUGGGCCCUCAGCUAGUUUGACUGGUGUCCAUAUAACAGGAGGAUCUUGGACCCAGAAGCAGACACAUACAGAGGGAAGACGAUGGGAAGACGUGGGAGAAAGCCUGAGGAGGUAGACGAGAGGCCUGGAACAGAUUCUCCUUCACAACCUGCAGAGGGAACCAACCCUGCUGACUCCUGGCUUUCGGGCUUCGGCCUCCAGAUCUGCGAGAUAAUAAAUUUCUGUUGUUUCAAGC